Molecule: ribosomal RNA, 513 nt
Filed under: uncultured bacterium
Lineage: Bacteria
Description: bacterial SSU rRNA
Rfam family: Bacterial small subunit ribosomal RNA
Source: RNAcentral
CGCUGGCGGCGUGCCUAAUACAUGCAGGUCGAACGCACUCUCGUUUAGAUUGAAGGAGCUUGCUCUGAUUGAUAAACAUUUGAGUGAGUGGCGGACGGGUGAGUAACACGUGGGUAACCUGCCCUAAAGUGGGGGAUAACAUUUGGAAACAGAUGCUAAUACCGCAUAAAACCUAACACCGCAUGGUGUAGGGUUGAAAGAUGGUUUCGGCUAUCACUUUAGGAUGGACCCGCGGUGCAUUAGUUAGUUGGUGAGGUAAAGGCUCACCAAGACCGUGAUGCAUAGCCGACCUGAGAGGGUAAUCGGCCACACUGGGACUGAGACACGGCCCAGACUCCUACGGGAGGCAGCAGUAGGGAAUCUUCCACAAUGGACGAAAGUCUGAUGGAGCAACGCCGCGUGAGUGAAGAAGGUUUUCGGAUCGUAAAACUCUGUUGUUGGAGAAGAAUGUAUCUGAUAGUAACUGAUCAGGUAGUGACGGUAUCCAACCAGAAAGCCACGGCUAACUACGUG